AGCGAACGCUGGCGGCAGGCCUAACACAUGCAAGUCGAACGAACCUUUCGGGGUUAGUGGCGGACGGGUGAGUAACACGUGGGAACGUGCCUUUAGGUUCGGAAUAACUCAGGGAAACUUGUGCUAAUACCGAAUGUGCCCUUCUGGGGAAAGAUUUAUCGCCUUUAGAUCGGCCCGCGUCUGAUUAGCUAGUUGGUUGAGUUAAUGGCUCACCAAGGCGACGAUCAGUAGCUGGUCUGAGAGGAUGAUCAGCCACAUUGGGACUGAGACACGGCCCAAACUCCUACGGGAGGCAGCAGUGGGGAAUAUUGCGCAAUGGGCGAAAGCCUGACGCAGCCAUGCCGCGUGAAUGAUGAAGGUCUUAGGAUUGUAAAAUUCUUUCACCGGGGACGAUAAUGACGGUACCCGGAGAAGAAGCCCCGGCUAACUUCGUG
RNAcentral lists this ribosomal RNA (434 nucleotides) under uncultured bacterium. Its description in RNAcentral is "partial 16S ribosomal RNA". It matches the Rfam family "Bacterial small subunit ribosomal RNA", at positions 29 to 507 of the family's 1533-position model. The record is from RNAcentral.